GUGUCAGAUAGUCAGAGUUACAUUAAGAAGUUAAAAUAAUUGUCUCAGAAGUACUGAAGACAAGACUUCCUUUUGGUACUAUCUACAAAUGUUAAGGGAUACUUAUGAAAGCAACACACAUACAAGUUGGCAAUAAUUGCAGCUAUGUCUCACUGUGUUCAUCUCAAAAUCCUAAACACAUAGCAAAAGUAAGCGUGUUUUAUCAUUUUUAGCACUUUUUGGAAUGAUAAAUUUCUUCUUGAUGAAAGAAAAAUUGUGCUUAGCUGCAUGACCUUAUAUGCAUUACAACUCUAGCGGUAUUUUAAUUUGCACAUUAUGCAAAUGAAAGAACAAUCAUAAGGAUGAUACAUAUUAGCCCUUUGGCAAUAUAAAUUGAAACCUUAGACCGUUAAUUAUACAAGUAACUCAGGUUCCACAUGCUAACGAUCAGCUGCAGAUAAAGGGAACCCACAUUUGUUAUCUCCUUAGCAGCAUCCAAGUUAUUUUGGAGCCUAUUGAUCAGUUCCGUUGCGAUGGCUUCUGUGCAGCAUCCAGCUACCUGCCCCUGUUGCUUAAGAAAAACAAGGUUUGGAUGGAGGCCAACAACCCACUGAACAGAUCCAGCAGCCCUCUGGCACCCUAACAAGCUGUCCCAAACCCACACCCCUUCCGGCAACAGCUCUGGAGCUCACCUAAGUUUUAUGCAAGCUUAUUCAGCUUGCUAUUCCAGUAUAACAAUUACUCACUUGUACACCCAUCUGGUUUAGGAAGGGUAAGAACCUGUGAAAGGGAGCUGGUGGGAUGGAAGGAUUCUCUUCCUUUUGAGUCGUUGCUCAACUUUACCAAAACCUUUUCACAUUCUUAGUAUUCUUUUCAGCUAAAAUUGAACUAGGAAUCAGAAGGCACACCACCGCUGCUUGAGUUCAACCUGAAUGGAAGUUGCAAUAAUUCUAAGAAAAAGGAGCACAGAAAUACAGCCCCAAAUUACAAACUCAGCUUGCCUGAGGAACCUGAAGAGACAUUACUCUGCCUUUUUUUUUUUUUUUUUUAACAAAAAAGCUUAAGUUCUUUCAAAAGGCUCUGAUAGUACAGUAGUAACUAAUAGUUGUAAUACAGGCCUCACUGGCUCAAAACAUUUUUGUAAAGUCAGCAUUCAGCUGCAUGUUACAACAUGGCAGCAAAUACUGUAUACUUUUCUCAACAAAAAGCUUCAACCUCUUAGAGAGCAAACAGCACAAGUUAAAACAGUUUCUCUUUUUAUGCAAGUCAGCUUAGCCAUUGGAUAAACCACAUCACACAUAUAUAUAUACACACACACAAAUAUAUAUAUAUGGUAUCUUUUAAAUAAGAUGAGAAAUCCUUGUUUCCACUUAAAUUUUGAGUCCUUCACCCACUUUCAGCUUGUUUUCUGGACUUCUGCUGUCAAAUCAAAGUUCCUAGCAGAAGAGUACCGGGAAUGCUGAAUGUUUCCCCAUGUGCUCAGCCCCGGCUGGCCUCCACCAAUCGACCUGCCCACGAGCCCUGACCCCACAUCCACACCACAGGCAAGUGGGUGGCCUGGGUGCAGUCCCAGCACUUGUUGCCUCCUUCCAGCUAGCAGGGGGCUUACAGGAGGCAGCACACAGGACAGCGGACAAGCAGCACGGGAUCACCAGCAUCUUCACAGUGAAGCUGCAUGGGAGGAAGAAUCAUGGGGAAUCAAACUUGGUCAGGGCUACCAUUCUACAAAAGCUGGAAACAGAGUUAUUGCUUGACUCCUGCUUGGGCUAAUGUUCUUCACUAAUUGGUCAGGAAUUUUCAGCUAACACAAUGCAUGCAGCACCUGACGGAGCUACAGUCCAGCAGGAAGGAGACUCUGCCCAGCUACCCCAUUUGCACAGACAGCAGCCCACACAGCUCUCAAAACUAAAGAAUCGGCUAUUACAGAGCUCUCCUCAGAUUUUUCCUCAUUUACAUGUCCGUAAGUCAUCUCUUUAGCCUCUUGCAUUCCAUAAUCUAACAUUAACAUUUCCCCUAUCAGCCCAGAAAUACAAAAGCUUUCCAUCUUGCAUUACAGUUGAAUGUUCGUCCAUUAAGUAAAAUAUCUAAUGAACGCUUCUUUCACCAGUCAGACAACUGUCUCUGACACUCUUAGGACCUCAAUACCACUGCAUGAGUUACCCCCAGUUUUAUUCCUAUGAAACUGGGAUUUCUGCUGCACUGACUGGCACAUACGCCUGAAUACAAAUUCAAAUGGUACAUCAUACCUUUUAUUAUCAAAAAAUGCCCAAUCAAGUUUCAUGUAUUCUAUUUUUACUACACAGAUAACAGUAGCAGUCCAGUUGAAGAAGAAAGAAGUUGAAAAAAUCUUCCAGGGUUGCUUAAAUACUGUGAAGAACAAGUAUGAGACUACAUUAAAGCCACUUCUCUUUCCCUGAAACAUUCCAGUGACUAAAAUGGGUCACACUUAGAUUGAGCACUUACGAACAGCUGGUGGCUUCUGGCUUGCUUGUAUUUGUAUACUGACCAGGUUUAAAAAAACAUGCAAUGAUCCAUUUUAAAAGCUUUUCUGAGAUAAUUUGGAGUUUGCUGGCAAGUGAGUAAUAAGUACAUGCAGUUCACAUCAACUACCUCAUCAAUUAGCAUAAUAAAUCAAACCAGCAAUCCUCUAACUGAAUUCACUCUAUUAUGCAGGAAGCAAGAUGUUCCAGUUAGCAAAAUACUCCCUGAGAAGUACUGUCUUUUUAUACACGCAUAAUGCCCCAAAAGAGAGUCAUCUAGGUUUCCUGACUUCAGCUAAAAUCCUGUCUUUCAAUCGCAUUCAGCAUUACCACGGCAGGUGCCAGCUGUCAAUACUUGUGCCCCCACCUUGCUGGCACCAGAGGAUUAACGCACCUCCCUUCCCUCUUCCCACUUCUCUCCCUUCCCUCAUGGGCCAUGCACCUGUGCGUUCAACACAUCUCUAGCCCCAGGCAAGUCGUGCCCUUCUGGUCAGCUCCACCAUAUGCAAAUAGAGCUUCGCAAGAGGAGCCCCAUCCAUAAGCUAACACACCGUUAUACAUCUGAACGCUAUUAAAUGCUGCAGUUCCACAGCAGUGAGGUGCUUUCAAUGGUUAGCUAACGCAGGUUAAAAUCGAAGUCUCCUUCUGUAUUAGGAAAGCAAUGAAACAGAUGCAUUACCAACAGGGUACAGGACUAGCUUUCCACAACUUGCUUCUAUUUCUGCCUGCCUUCUCUUACUGAACUCCAACCUACGGAUUCACGUUGCAGCAGCUGAAUUGCCAUAGUAAGAUGAUCAAUGACUACGGAAGAGUUGUAAAUGCGAUAAGGCUCCAGCUAUAGGUUUUCUUGAUAUUUGGAGCAUAUCAGCAGCAUCGUCAAUUUUAACAAUUUCAUGUAAUACAAAGCUGCUACCCAUCACUGUCAACAUCGUGCGCAAACGGAUCAGAAGCUUGCCCAGAGACCCACAGAAGUCUUUCAACUCCAACCUCAAACAACAACCUAAAAUGAAUUUUCCAGAAGGAACAUAUUUUGAAGGAGAACUGAGAGCACUGUUACUCAGCAUUAUUCAUGAUACCAAAAAAAAAAAAAAAAAGACUUGAAAACCUGAAAUUAUGCAAAUACUUACAAGGUUUUGUUAUAAAUGCUUAAAAAAAAAAAAAGGAAAACCUCUACUACAUCACUGAUUUUAUAUUCACACAAGGAAAGGAACAUUAUUUUCCUUCAUUGCCACUAUAUACUAGGUUGUUUUUUUCCUAGCUGACACACGUACCCUUGGCAACACAGCCAGUAACACCUUCUAGCCAAAAACAGGGACCAUGCAAUUAGCAACAAAAUGGUUAGUAACCGCUUUAUCAGAAUUUUCACUAUCCAAUGCCCACAUCUAUUAUCGUUUUCCAAGCUGCUGUUCUUGUUCUAUUCCUAACAAUGAAGUUAUCCAAAUGAGAUGCACAUAGCCCAUCUCCUCUGAAGAACCUGAGAGCUGGCACCUUGAACAGCAGUGACAGCAGGUCACUGGCUCACAUCAUGGAACUCCUGUCUCUGACUUUCAACUACCGCUUCCUAGGCCCUAGUUGUGUUUUUUCCAAGAGCAUUCCACCUUUGCCUGAUCAUAAAAGCCCGCCAAUGCUACAGAUGAUCAUGAGCACUACGAAGACUGUAACGGCUUACUAUGACAGAAGCAUUAGUUAUCUCACCUUAACAUAUCAUUAAGCAUUUAGACACUAAAGCCUAACUCAUUCAUCACAUCAGGCUUAAAAAGAAGAGAACAAUAUUCAAAUCUAAGUAGAAAAUCAAAUGUCAGCUCAACUACUCCUUCAUACUCCUUCAAAACUUCUAAAGGCAGGGUUUUCAGGAGGUUUUGUUCCUUCCCUCCCUACAAUGGAUUUUGAAUUCUUUUCAUUGUUAUGACUAACAAUGGAAAUGUGAAAACAGCAAAGCCCCCAUUUUAACAGCCAAAAUCAGUCAGGAUCAUCUCCAGGGAUAGUCACUCACUACCUUUUUAGAACAUUUUAUAUCUCACUGAUAGUAUCGAGUCUCCAGUUAGGUCCAUCUACCCUUCAGGACAAGUGCUGUGAGGAGCUGAGCAUCUAUCCCGUGUCAGGAUAAUCCCACUGCAUUAAAAAUAGGCUUCCCAGAAGGCAGCCGCUUGGAGCUGAUAACUGAAACGCCUCUUUGUACCUAACUUACAAACUGAAUCAGUCUUGGUAUCAUCAGUUAUGCUGCUCAAGAGGAAAGCAUUAAGUGUGCAGAACAGAAGAUUGCAGCUGCAGCAGUGGAAGCCAUACGUACUAGGUGACACACACACACGAGGCUUUCAUCAUGCAGGUGUCUAAACUCCAGCAAAUGACCCAUGCCACAACUGCUUCAGCAUUUGCCAUGCUACACUUGUCAUUCCCUUGCCUUCCUUGCUGUCCUCACGCUCUAUUUUCCAUCAAUUCCAGUUUCUCAAUUCUUACUAUAUCUUUCCAAACACCCACGUACGAAUCUUGUCUCUCAAAUACUCUGCAAAGAAACCCAAGAAAGCCUCUUCCUUUCAAUUCGGAAAGGGUUGAACACUCUUGAAUGUGUUUUCCCCCUUUAUACUGUAAUCUCACCUCACAGGCAGAGGGGAAGGUAAUAAAACCAAAGGCUUGCUUCUUCAUAGUUCAAACAAAUUUAAGUCCAAUAUUAUGCAACAAUGCUUUCCAUACAAUCCAUAAGAAAAUUUAACUUCUGUAUCCCAUGCAGGCAGCUCAACGUUUUGAAAGCAAUACAGGUAAUUUAGCAGGGCAAGCUCAUAACCAGAAAUACUGCAGGUCACGACUGCUAUAGUUGGCACCGUCUUCACCGAGCUGGAGUGUUUGGAUAGCUGCCACAGAAAGGCUGACUAGACGACUGGAUCUUUGUCUCCGUGACAUUAAAAUGAUCAUAAAGCUUCAAACCACUUUAAGUAGGUUCACUGAAUGACUAAUUCUGGCUGUGACACUCUAGAAAACAGGGAAAAUGAGGGACCAUUUGGAGAUUUAUUUCAACUGUGUGCUUUAUCAAUCCAUACACAGCCUUCAACAUCUCUCUCCUUUUCCCCACAUCUCCGGUUUGGGUGUGUUUUCCUGAGUUCGGCUGGUAUCUCUGGGGAAAUUCACUGCUGGAUUAAAAACAGGAAAUCUUUCUUGGGUUACUGACCAAGUGAUGCAAAAAGCCUUCCUUCUGGUUCUCAAUUAGUUAACUCCGAUACACAAACAUUUGCAAAGUUAAGUGGGAUACAUUUAAAUGACUGCUGCCUUGGCAGCCAGUGGCAUGCUUUUAGCACAUUUCCCCUAGAGAACACAGUUGCUGUGAUACCUAAAAUACAGGCUUCCUGGCUUUUCUUCUGAGCAUGCUAAGUGAAGUAGUGAAAUAACAGAAAUUGCACAUUCUGGUUACAGGAUGCUAAAAUAUCCUGCAACAGUACCUAUCUUGCUGUGUCCUCCUGGUUCUGGUACUGAAAAAAGUAGAAUCAAAGUCAUCUGGGUUGGAAAAGACCUGCAAGAUCACCCCGUCCAUCCAUCAACCUGACCUAACACCUCCCACCACCAAACCACAUCCCUCAGUGCCACAUCCUCACGUCACUUAAAUACCGCCACGGAUGGCGAUUCCACAACUUCCCCAGGCAGCCCAUUCCAGUGCCUGACCUCCUUCUCCAUGAAGAAAUUCUUCCUAAUGCCCAACCUAAACCUCCUUGAUGCAACUUGUGGCCAUCACAUGGUGUCCUAUCACUUGUCGCCUGAGGGAAGAGACCAGGACCCUGACCCCAGGCUCACCAGUGCUGCAUACAAGGUGAUGAUCACUUCCCUAGCCCCACUGGCCACAUUACUUCUGAUGGAGGCCAGGAUGCCAUUGGCCUUCUUGGACACCUGGGCACACUGCUGGCCCACGUUUAGUUGUAGCUCUGAAGUACAGAUAUAGUGGUAUAAAUUCACAGAAGAAUUACUAACAGGAAGAACAUCAUCUGCAGUUUUAGCUUAAUAGAAACUGUAAACACUACCAAAUUCAAGUUAAGGAGAAUUUUCCUCCAGUUUUCAUAUUAAAUUAUGUCCAAUUGUUUUCAUCUAGGCUAUAAAUGGCCCUCAAUUCCCUCAAAAUGACACC
Long non-coding RNA from Cygnus olor (mute swan), 6567 nucleotides. RefSeq lists it as uncharacterized. The transcript is spliced from 2 exons. The record is from RefSeq and is a predicted model, not a curated record. Lineage: Eukaryota; Metazoa; Chordata; Aves; Anseriformes; Anatidae.